AGCGGCGGACGGGUGAGUAAUGCUUGGGAAUAUGCCUUUAGGUGGGGGACAACAGUUGGAAACGACUGCUAAUACCGCAUAAUGUCUACGGACCAAAGGAGGGAUCUUCGGACCUUUCGCCUUUAGAUUAGCCCAAGUGAGAUUAGCUUGUUGGUGAGGUAAUGGCUUACCAAGGCGACGAUCUCUAGCUGGUUUGAGAGGAUGAUCAGCCACACUGGGACUGAGACACGGCCCAGACUCCUACGGGAGGCAGCAGUGGGGAAUAUUGCCCAAUGGGGGGAACCCUGAUGCAGCCAUGCCGCGUGUGUGAAGAAGGCCUUAGGGUUGUAAAGCACUUUCAGUUGUGAGGAAAGGUGUAAGGUUAAUACCUUUGCACUGUGACGUUAGCAACAGAAGAACCACCGCCUACCUUCGUGCCACCCCCCCCCGGUAAUACCCAGGGGUGCCAAGCGUUAAUCCGGAAUUACUGGCCGUACAGCCUACGUAGGCGGUUUGCUAAGCAAGAUGUGAAAGCCCCAGGGCUCAACCCUUGGAACUGCAUUUUGAACUGGCAAACUAGAGUACUGUAGAGGGUGGUGGAAUUUCCAGUGUAGCGGUGAAAUGCGUAGAGAUUGGAAGGAACAUCAGUGGCGA
Molecule: ribosomal RNA, 633 nt
Filed under: uncultured bacterium
Lineage: Bacteria
Description: bacterial SSU rRNA
Rfam family: Bacterial small subunit ribosomal RNA
Source: RNAcentral